This is a long non-coding RNA of Ornithorhynchus anatinus (platypus), 258 nucleotides long. RefSeq lists it as uncharacterized. The transcript is spliced from 4 exons. Lineage: Eukaryota; Metazoa; Chordata; Mammalia; Monotremata; Ornithorhynchidae. The record is from RefSeq and is a predicted model, not a curated record.
CCUGAUCCCGCUAACAUGUCUGCUGUGUGACCUUGGGUGACUCUGACAGUGAAGGCCUUUCUGAACAAACAUGCGAGAAGGCCGUGACAAGUGUCUCUGAGAGAAAGUAUCUGAUGUGCCAGAAAGAUCCUGUCUGCUGUGAUGUGUUGUGCUCUGAUGCUGCUCUGUAAUUCCAAGAAUGGGCCUGCUUAAUGAUACCCAUUAAAUGGCUAUCGAGAGAUGAGGUAACUGAGGCACAUAGAAAUGAUUUGCCCAAGG